This 75-nucleotide transfer RNA is filed under the name Streptomyces sp. CB02488. RNAcentral describes it as "tRNA-Gln". It matches the Rfam family "tRNA". From Rfam's summary of the family: Transfer RNA (tRNA) molecules are approximately 80 nucleotides in length. Lineage: Bacteria; Bacillati; Actinomycetota; Actinomycetes; Kitasatosporales; Streptomycetaceae. The record is from RNAcentral.
UCCCCCAUGGUGUAAUUGGCAGCACAGUAGCUUUUGGUGCUAUUUGUCCGGGUUCAAGUCCUGGUGGGGGAGCCC